Molecule: ribosomal RNA, 420 nt
Filed under: uncultured prokaryote
Description: partial 16S ribosomal RNA
Source: RNAcentral
CCCUACGGGGUGCAGCAGGCACUUAUCAACUUACUCCAAAAGUUGAGCUCGACCGUCCGGAAUUGCGGCUCGACUCAGCCCUGCCGGGGUUAAUUGAAGUGGUCAUCACAAGAUAGGACCAAUACAAGUAAACAGGAUUUUUUAUGGAUAAACCAGUAAUCGUGCUCGUCGGAAGACCCAACGUGGGUAAAAGUACCCUUUUCAACCGCCUGGGGGAGCAGCGCCUCGCCAUCAUUGAUGAUGUUCCAGGCACAACGCGCGACCGCUUGGUGGCGGAGGGUGAUUGGGCGGGGCAUACCUUUUUUGUGGUCGACACCGGUGGGAUUGACCCCAGCAAACAGCGCGACCAGGAGCCGCUUUCGAUCGGCUCGGCAGCCGUUAUUGAUGAUAUUCGUUCGCAGGUGGAAUUGGCGGGGGAGC